CCUUGACUACAAUAAUGUAGACAUUUGCCACGACAAGGAGAAAUAACAUG
This 50-nucleotide non-coding RNA is filed under the name unclassified sequences. The record is from RNAcentral.